RNAcentral lists this ribosomal RNA (411 nucleotides) under Triticum aestivum (bread wheat). Its description in RNAcentral is "partial small subunit ribosomal RNA". Lineage: Eukaryota; Viridiplantae; Streptophyta; Magnoliopsida; Poales; Poaceae. The record is from RNAcentral.
AUGGAAAAGGCUAGGCCAAGUUAUCCGGAAAUGCGGAUGAGGGAGGUUGCUUUUCUGGGAAGAACAAGAGAGAUGGAAGUGAAGAGCCUACUGUCUGUCUAUCGUGCUAGACUUGAAUUGUCCCCGGCAAUCACCAUACGGCAAGCCUUUCUUUUUUGGGGCGGGAAAGGUGAUUUGCGGUUCAACACCAACGGGGAAAAGGAUAUGCGGCAAGAUAAGAGGAUAAGAAGGUUAGGAGCCCUAGGCCGAUCCAAGAUCCAACUCAUCCGUACGGCUGGCUGUACCACCAGCCGGCGAUAUUGGCCCAACUACCUCAGAUAUCAAAAUCUCGGGGAACCCUUAAUAAAACCAGCUCCAUUAUCCAUGGAUCUUCGCCGAUACAUUUCAGUGCAGGUACGGGAAUCAGUUUGA